GAAAUGCGAUAAGUAAUGUGAAUUGCAGAAUUCCGUGAAUCAUCGAAUCUUCGAACGCACAUUGCGCCCUCUGGUAUUCCGGGGGGCAUGCCUGUCCGAGCGUCAUUGCGAACCCCUCAAGCACGGCUUGUGUGAUGGGCCCUCCCGCGUCUUGGUCGUCAAGACGGGCCCGAAAAGCAGUGGCGGCUUCGCGGUUAUCCGAUCAGCCAGAGCGUAUGGGGACUUUCUCUCUGUCACACGCCCGCGGCGCGGACCGACGCCUGUCGACCUUUAUUCAUCUUUUUCUCGGUUGACCUCGGAUCAGGUAGGGAUACUCGCUGAACUUAAGC
RNAcentral lists this unclassified non-coding RNA (329 nucleotides) under plant metagenome. RNAcentral's name for it is "partial contains 5.8S ribosomal RNA, internal transcribed spacer 2, and large subunit ribosomal RNA". The stretch from base 1 to 105 matches the Rfam family "5.8S ribosomal RNA", at positions 50 to 154 of the family's 154-position model. The record is from RNAcentral.